GAUUUAGUAUUCCUCAAAAUGAAUAAAAACAGUGAAAUGCAAACUCAGAAUGCGACGCAAACCUGCAACAAUAAAUGUUAAACAACAUAA
Molecule: long non-coding RNA, 90 nt
Organism: Sinocyclocheilus anshuiensis
Lineage: Eukaryota; Metazoa; Chordata; Actinopteri; Cypriniformes; Cyprinidae
Exons: 3
Source: RefSeq, a predicted model, not a curated record